Molecule: ribosomal RNA, 354 nt
Filed under: Acanthamoeba genotype T4
Lineage: Eukaryota; Discosea; Longamoebia; Acanthamoebidae
Description: SSU rRNA
Rfam family: Eukaryotic small subunit ribosomal RNA
Source: RNAcentral
ACAUUAGCAUGGGAUAAUGGAAUAGGACCCUGUCCUCCUAUUUUCAGUUGGUUUUGGCAGCGCGAGGACUAGGGUAAUGAUUAAUAGGGAUAGUUGGGGGCAUUAAUAUUUAAUUGUCAGAGGUGAAAUUCUUGGAUUUAUGAAAGAUUAACUUCUGCGAAAGCAUCUGCCAAGGAUGUUUUCAUUAAUCAAGAACGAAAGUUAGGGGAUCGAAGACGAUCAGAUACCGUCGUAGUCUUAACCAUAAACGAUGCCGACCAGCGAUUAGGAGACGUUGAAUACAAAACACCACCAUCGGCGCGGUCGUCCUUGGCGUCUCGGUUUCGGCCGGGGCGCGGGGAUGGCUUAGCCCGG